GAGCGGUGCUGGAGGGCGGGGCGAGACGAGUGGAGCUGCUGUCCGUCAGUCCUCUGGUCUGGUUGAUCUGGAGACUGAAGUGCGUUUCGUGGGACGACAAGUCAGUUUUAACCGCGGCCUGCGCUCGGGCUCAGUGGAUCCUUACGGAAACAAGUGCGAUUAACUCAGGGGUGAGAUCUUCAGGAUAAAUGUGAAAUUCUGGCGCGUGUGAAUCUAGAUAAACAGUGAUGCCACAUCAGCUCACAUGCUCUGGAAGGACUGAUUCACGAAUGGCAGGGUUGUUGAGAUCAUCUGGUUAACCUCAGGUUAGAGACUCCUGUCCUUCUGACUCACUCCGGUAAAAAAAAAAAGAGUAGAUAUUCGCCAUCUUUAAUAAUACGCAGGAACUGGAUAAGUGCUCUUUGUGCUAAUAUGACUAAAUAUUACCACUCUUAAAUGUAAUUUUACUCAAAACAUUCCGAAAAUGUAACUAACACCUGUUUAAUUAUUGCUUACACAAUUACGUACUCUAACAUUGUUAUUCACAUUAGAUGAAUGAGUUUUUGAGAUGUUGAGCUAUUUUGAGAAUAGUUUUAAAGGUGCGGUAGAAUGUAAAACUGUAUUUAUGUAGGCAUUUAUGAAUAAUAAGAGUUGUGUACAUGAUAAUAACAUAUCGUGAGCUUUAAACACGAUUGUUUCCUCCUCCUUAUGUAAACCUUGUGCAUGCAAAAGACCGCUGGAAAACAGACCAAUCUCAACAUAACACCAACUGUUACGUUACAGUCCAGAAGUACACCCCCAAAAUUAAAUUACACAUUAAAUUAAUUACAAUGUUGUUACAAUGCUAAAAACAAAGUUGUGACUGCUGAGUUUGCGCUAUAUGCUAGUUAAUGCCAGUGUUGGGGAAAGUUACUUUUAAAAGUAAUGCGU
This is a non-coding RNA of Misgurnus anguillicaudatus (oriental weatherfish), 909 nucleotides long. The record is from RefSeq and is a predicted model, not a curated record. Lineage: Eukaryota; Metazoa; Chordata; Actinopteri; Cypriniformes; Cobitidae.